RNAcentral lists this long non-coding RNA (4911 nucleotides) under Ovis aries (sheep). RNAcentral describes it as "lncRNA (ENSOARG00000026854.1)". The record is from RNAcentral. Lineage: Eukaryota; Metazoa; Chordata; Mammalia; Artiodactyla; Bovidae.
AUGGGGUCUGUACUGUCCGCCGGGGCCGGUCAUAGGCCGAGACGAAGGCCAUUUCCAAGCGGAUGGACGUGGAUUGGAUGUGGAGAAGGGCGUGUGUUUUGGAAUGCACGUACCCCAGUGCUUGACGAGGGGCCCUUCCAGGCCCCAGUGCUCCACUCUGCAGUCAUAGAAGUCUUCACUGGCGGGAACAAAGGUGAGGUAACUGAACUUGAGGAAGGAGUGGUCACUCUUGGGGUAGAAGGUGGUCUCAGUGACACCUUCUGCAACAAACUGUCCAUUGUAAAACCAAGUGAUGUUGAUCACAGGAGGAAAGAUGUUGUCCACUUGACAGAUGAGGGUGUUGGGAAUCCCCAGGACCACGGAGGAUUUGGGAAACACAGCCACUUCAGGGAUGUCUACAAUGAAGACCAAAGAUGGAUUGGAAUUUCUGACAACCGUGCCUUAUGCUCCUUACUCAGUUUAGGGGAGGCUCCCCCACCCCAUGCACCAUCUCCCCAGCUCUUAGUGUAUUAUUUCCUAUGUCCUUUCAGACUCACUUUACAGUCAGCCAUAACCUCCCUUUAUUUUCACCUGUUUCUUAGAUUAUAUAUUGAUCAUUAUUACUAUUAUUUUACUGGUAGGACCACCCAAAACUUUGACCUUGGCUCUUCUAUCUUCGGAAUGAGGAAGAUUAGUGCUAUCUGUGGUGACUUCAGAACAGGGGCUGACAUCUUUAUCUACAGAUGCUGAACUGUCCUCUGAACUGUGCUGUGAAUUCUCUUCUGAACUGUCCUCUUCUUUAGGGUCACUAUGAAGCUUAGAACACGUUCUUCUCGCCGGGAAUCCACAGGGCAGAGUGGGUCAGUGUGUGAGAGCUAGGAGACAGAUGGGCCACGGGCUGAGCAGCUGCAACUGUUCUCCUGCUGAUGCUUUAGGACACAAUACCAGCAGGAGCACGGGGCCCUGAUGAGGUGAAAGACAAAGCGACCACAGCUUCCUCGUUCUGGUGGUCAAGGGGAUUUCCCAGCCUGAGGCAUGUGCAGAAGAGGUCUUCAGUCUAGGAGGGCAAAUGAGGAAGGAGACACCAGCCCCCUAGAAACCUUUGCGCCAGAAUCCACCUUGGCUGAGAGAUGCAUGCCCAUCAGGAAGAAUCCUGAGUCAGGUGAAAACUGGGCACAAGCGAGAUGACUGGCCCGAGACAGCCCAGAAAACUGCCCCCAUAUAAGCAAGCUAAAUCGUCCCUACUGUGUGCAGCUCAGCCCAUUUGGAGUGAGUCGCCAUUUACGUUUAAUAGUGAAAGACUGGUUAAUAAUAGCAAUGCAUUGUAAAAACUUCAGAAGGAAAGGAGAAUCUUUUAUGGACCAUUUGUUUUGUGUGUGGCAGUUUUCAGUUAUUAGUUUUUAAAAUCAGCACUUUCUAAUGGAAAUAGCUUGAUAAAAAAUCUGUCCAGGGUUUUGAGACCCAUUAAAAAACGUUAAAAAAAAAAAAAUCCAAACUCUGAGUUCUUUUAUGAGCUCUUCCACACAUACUCUGUUUUUAAUAAACACUGUCUUGAUUUCACAAGCUUGGUCUCUUUGCUGAAUUCUUUCUUCAAAGGAGACAAGGGCUGAGGUACUACUUGGCUACUUAGGCCAAGAGCUUGGGAAUAUCCUCUUUUAGAACUUCAAGGAGUGGUUCUUGGAACUUGGGGAGGGAUAUUUCAAGAUUAAAUCUGUAGCUGAGGACUGGGUAUUUGCCAGGAAAUGGAAUAGAAAGGGGGAACAAUUUAGAGUGUUGGGGGGAAGACUAGCUACCUUGGGGAGGAAAAAGAGACCAGGAACAGGAGAUAGAUACCGUGAAGAGAGACCACACUUACCGUUGGUGGCAGGUGUAAAGUUGGAAUUUUUCAUCAAGAUGUCCAAAUUUCUUUUUGACAUAACAAUGUUUCUCAGGGCACUCUGAAUUUCAAACAUUGUGAUAUUGUUAAACUCGGGCAGCCUCCAGACAGUCUCUUUUUUCCUCAGGUCCACGUAGAAGAGCUCGUCUCCAUCAAAUUCAAACGUGAACUGGCCAGAGGCGCCGUACGUCUGGUAGACAUUUGUGCCGUAAGUGCCCACGUGGUCCGCUGGUGCGUGGCCAUGCCAAAGCAGGAAGGUAAGAACAGGGAAGCGGGAUACAGGGGAGGGGAAAGAAUUGGAUUAAAUAAAAACAGAUGAGAAGUGGUCUGUCUAGGAGUGUGGGUUCAUAUUUGGCCUGGUCCUACACCACUUCCUAUUUCUGUCUUUUUUAUCCUAGGCUUAGGGAGGGUUAUGUACAUGCCAAGAGGUGCUAAGAUGCUGUCUUAUUCACUCUGUACCCCAGUAACUUGAGGGGUUCAUGGCACAUAGCAAGAUUUCAGUUAAAUGAGUUAAUGAUGAAUGCUUGUGUGUGUGCUAGUCUCUUCAGUUCAGUUCAGUUCAGUUCAGUCGCUCAGUCGUGUCCGACUCUUUGCGACCCCAUGAAUCGCAGCACGCCAGGCCUCCCUGUCCAUCGCCAGCUCCCAGAGUUCACUCAGACUCACGUCUAUCGAGUCAGUGAUGCCAUCCAGCCAUCUCAUCCUCUGUCGUCCCCUUCUCCUCCUGCCCCCCAAUCCCUCCCAGCAUCAGAGUCUUUUCCAAUGAGUCAAUUCUUUGCAUGAGGUGGCCAGUCAUGACCUAUUGUUUGCGACCCUCUGGACUGUAGCCCAACGGGCUCCUCUGUCCUUGGGAUUCUCCUGGCAAGAAUACCAGAGGGGGUUGCCAUGCUCUCCUCCAGGGGACCUUCCUGACCCAGGGGUCAAACCUGUGUUUCCUGCAUUGCAGUUGGAUUCCUUACCCCUGAGCUGCUGGGGAAGCCCUAGGUAAUGAUUACAUAAUUUUAAUUCUUAAGUUUAUUUCUAGUCACCUAAUCUCUUACUUCUCAUAGCACCUAUCUCAUUCUUAACACACUAUGGAAUUUAUUUACUUAUGAAAUGUGUUUUUUUAAAAAGUUAUCUGUCUGAUUGUAAGAACAUGAGUUUCCCGUGAAUAGUAAUCUUGACCUGUUGUUGUUGUUUGUGCCACAUAGCAUGAGGGAUCUUAGUUCCCUGACCAGGGAUUGAAUCCUUGUCCUCCGGCAGUAGAAGCAUGGAGUCCUGACCGCUGGACCACCAGGGCAUUCCCAGAAAUCUUGCUUUAUGCCCAGAGGAGUGCUUGACACCUCGCUAAAUAUUUGUUCACCUAAUGAAUCACAGUUAGAAAAUGUUUUGAAGAUUCCAUUCCAUUCUUCUUCUCUUUUCCUUGACUUCCCACCCCACCCCACCCCGCCUUUGGGUUUCAAUAACUAUUGUCAAUGCCCAUGACACAGUAGGACAAAGUUUUGGACAGGACACUGAAAUUUAGUGGAAUAAGCCACCUUCAAGAAGGUGUUGUGAAUACAGAAUGGAGGAGCCAAGGGGGCUGAUUAACCAAAAUUAAUCUGCUUUUAUCCUCUUUUUAGAGCUUUGCUGGCUGGAGGUGACAGGACUGGUAGUUUGGGUUGACAAGCUGAGACUAACCUAUUUUAAGUUCCCAGGUUUUCCACCAACAUUACCUAAAUUUCCAAAACAAACAAUCAAAUGUGAAGUUAUAAUAAAUCAUGCUAUACUUGGGCAUUACGUUGCUUUUUAGUCCAUGGGGUCUCAAAGAGUUGGACAGAACUGAGUGACUUUCACACACAUACACAUACACACAACUCUUUGUUAUUUAGAAUGCACAUCUGAAAAUAGAGUUGCCAUAUGGUCCAGCAAUCCCACUCCUGGGUAUAUAUCCGGAAAGAACUAUAAUGCAAAAAGAUAAAUGCACCUUUAUUUCACAGCAGUGCUACUUAUAAGAGCCAAGACAUGGAAACAACCUAAAUGUCUACUGACAAAUGAAUGGAUAAAGAAGAUGUAUAUAUAUAGUUGUUUAGUUGCUAAGUCAUGUCAGACUUUUUGUGACCUCAUGGACUGCAGCCUGCCAGGCUCCUCUGCCCAUGGAAUUCUUCAGGCAAGAAUACUGAAGUGGGUAGCCAUUCCCUUCUCCAGGGGAUCUUCCCAAUCCAGGGAUCAAAUCUGGGUCUCCUGCAUUGCAGGCAGAUUCUUUACCACCUGAGCCACCAUACUCCAAUAUAAAAUAAAAAUUAAGAAAUUCUUCACAAUUGUAAACCCCCACCCCUCAACUGUACACUCACCCACGAUGUCUUCACCUCCACAGGGGCUCAUCAUGGCGGCCAGAAUGAGAGCCCUCAGAAUCAGAGCUUUCUUCAUCCUCCUCCUCCUCCAAGGGUUUCCUCAGGAGUGGCUGUUCCAAGUGGUGCCUCACCAGGAAGGUGGUCUAAAGAGAACUGCUGGAGAAGUCAUGUUGGAGCAGCCCACGCCUCACCCUGCUCUAUCGUGUUUCAGCCCAUCAGAGAAAUUCCCUGAGCUGACAUCUCAGUUGCCAGCUGAAGCAUUUUUAGGAAGAGACCUGUAAGAAGCCUGGAAAACUCCCUUGUUUUGAAUUAUCUAAGGGCAUACAUAGAUUCAAACGGGAGCAGAAGGAUAUCAUACAUAGGAGGAAUCAUCAAAGAGUAAAGCUUGUCGCAAGAAAAUUUGAACGGUUUUGAGAGAUCCUAAAGAAAGAAGCUUGUGGCUUCCCUUGGGGCUCAGCUGGUAAAGAAUCUGCCUGCAAGGCGGGAGACCUGGGUUCGAUCCGUGGGUUGGGAAGAUCUGCUGGAGAAGGGAAAGGCUACCCACUCCAGUCUUCUGGCCUGGAGAAUUCCAUGGACGUACAGUCCAUGGGGCCGCAGAGUUGAACACGACUGAGCAACUUUCACACAGAGCAUAGAUUCAAAAGGGAGCAGAAGGAACUUCCAUUGUAUAAAUGAAAGGAGAAACACUCUGACAGAAAAUUCCAGUUGCAUGGAGCUUACCUCCUAUACUUUGGAUUAAACUUGUCC